RNAcentral lists this ribosomal RNA (403 nucleotides) under uncultured bacterium. RNAcentral describes it as "bacterial SSU rRNA". It matches the Rfam family "Bacterial small subunit ribosomal RNA", at positions 32 to 412 of the family's 1533-position model. The record is from RNAcentral.
AAUCAACGCUGGCGGCGUGCCUCAGACAUGCAAGUCGAACGCGAAAGUCCCCUUCGGGGGACGAAGUAGAGUGGCGCACGGGUGAGUAACACGUAGGUAAUCUACCUUUGGAUGGGGAAUAACAACCGGAAACGGUUGCUAAUACCGCAUAAUGCAGCGGCACCUAAUGGUGACAGUUGUUAAAGCGGGGGAUCGAAAGACCUCGCGUCUGAAGAGGAGCCUGCGGCGGAUUAGCUAGNGGUUAGGGUAAUGGCCUACCAAGGCGACGAUCCGUAGCCGGCCUGAGAGGGCGGGUCGGCCACACUGACACUGACAUACGGGUCAGACUCCUACGGGAGGCAGCAGUGGGGAAUCUUGCGCAAUGGGCGAAAGCCUGACGCAGCGACGCCGCGUGAGGGAUGAC